CGAGUCGGCCGGGCGGCCGCGUCGAGCGUCUCGCGACGUUCGUCGAGGAAAGUCCGGACUCCGCAGAGCAGGGUGGUGGGUAACACCCACCCGGGGCGACCCGCGGGACAGUGCCACAGAAAACAGACCGCCAGCGGCCCCGGCUCGACGAGCCGGGGUGCGGGUAAGGGUGAAACGGUGGUGUAAGAGACCACCAGCACCUGGGGUGACUCAGGUGGCUAGGUAAACCCCACCCGGAGCAAGGCCAAGAAGGGACGGCACUUUCGGGUGCCGAUCCCGCGCAGGCGUUCGAGGGCUGCUCGCCCGAGCCUGCGGGUAGGCCGCUGGAGGUCGCCGGCAACGGCGACCCGAGAUGGAUGGCCGCCGACCACAGAAUCCGGCUUACAGGCCGGCUCGUCCA
RNAcentral lists this RNase P RNA (400 nucleotides) under Actinopolymorpha singaporensis. RNAcentral's name for it is "Bacterial RNase P class A". It matches the Rfam family "Bacterial RNase P class A". From Rfam's summary of the family: Ribonuclease P (RNase P) is a ubiquitous endoribonuclease, found in archaea, bacteria and eukarya as well as chloroplasts and mitochondria. Its best characterised activity is the generation of mature 5'-ends of tRNAs by cleaving the 5'-leader elements of precursor-tRNAs. Lineage: Bacteria; Bacillati; Actinomycetota; Actinomycetes; Propionibacteriales; Actinopolymorphaceae. The record is from Rfam by way of RNAcentral.